UGCCUGAGCAUGAUCACAACAAAAGUAGCUGUGCAGCACGUUUUUUAAGGAAGAGGAGGAUAGUUGCAGACGUUAGCAUUCAUGCAAGAAGAUGUGAGACACCAAGGCUGCCAGUACCUCUGGAUCGAUUGUCCAUGUGUUGGAUGAUGCACAACCGUUGAUCAGAACAGACAUUGUAUAAUUGACCAAAGCUAUGCUUGGAUACAAGACUGAUGACUUAAUAACCAGUAUUGACAACAGUGAAGAUGGUUAUGUCCCAGGGCCAUCAGGAUCAUCAGAGCAAGGCAAUUUCUAUGAAGAAAAUCUGACCGGAGAGAUGUCAGCGAUUCGGGCCAAUGACCAAGGGAAAGCUGGGACAAAAGAGAGGUUCACACGAAAUGGAUGCUGCGGCCACUGAUUGCGCAUCAGAGAAUGACUCUGAGAAAGAGGAAUCGUCUGAAGAAUCCUAUGAAGAAAAUCUGACUGGUAUGCCGAAACCUUACAUACACAUGGACCUAUUCUUAAUUACAAUGUCCUUUUCAACAUGUUUUCCAGGAGACAUGUCAGCGAUUCGGGCCAAACAACCAAUGACCAAGGGAAAACUGGGACAAAAGAGAGGCUCACACGAAAGAGACUCUUCAUCCACCUCCAAGAUCGAGGGCAGUGAUGGAGAGACACACACUGGGAAGAAAGGCCCAGACUUAAAGUUAACGUCCCAGUGAAUGGGCUUCACUCUCUUCCUGCG
Molecule: long non-coding RNA, 724 nt
Organism: Oncorhynchus tshawytscha (Chinook salmon)
Lineage: Eukaryota; Metazoa; Chordata; Actinopteri; Salmoniformes; Salmonidae
Source: Ensembl